Molecule: ribosomal RNA, 253 nt
Filed under: uncultured bacterium
Lineage: Bacteria
Also listed under: 1 other name
Description: partial 16S ribosomal RNA
Rfam family: Bacterial small subunit ribosomal RNA
Source: RNAcentral
UACGUAGGUGGCGAGCGUUGUCCGGAAUUACUGGGCGUAAAGGGAGCGUAGGCGGUUUUUUAAGUGGGAUGUGAAAUCCCCGGGCUCAACCUGGGAAUUGCAUUCCAAACUGGGAAACUAGAGUGCAGGAGAGGAAAGUGGAAUUCCAAGUGUAGCGGUGAAAUGCGUAGAGAUUUGGAGGAACACCAGUGGCGAAGGCGACUUUCUGGACUGUAACUGACGCUGAGGCUCGAGAGCGUGGGGAGCAAACAGG